This 162-nucleotide small nuclear RNA is filed under the name Echinops telfairi (small Madagascar hedgehog). RNAcentral describes it as "U1 spliceosomal RNA (ENSETEG00000020528.1)". It matches the Rfam family "U1 spliceosomal RNA". Rfam says of the family: U1 is a small nuclear RNA (snRNA) component of the spliceosome (involved in pre-mRNA splicing). Its 5' end forms complementary base pairs with the 5' splice junction, thus defining the 5' donor site of an intron. Lineage: Eukaryota; Metazoa; Chordata; Mammalia; Afrosoricida; Tenrecidae. The record is from RNAcentral.
CUGCUCCAGGCAGGGGAGCUACCAUGAUCACGAAGGUGGUUUUCCCAGGGCGAGGCUUAUCCAUUGCUCUCCGGAUGUGCUGACCCCUGCGAUUCCCCCACAUGUGGGAAACUCGACUGCACAAUUUGUGGUAGUGGGGGACUGCGUUCACGCUCUCCCCUC